UACGUAGGGUGCGAGCGUUAAUCGGAAUUACUGGGCGUAAAGCGUGCGCAGGCGGUCUGUUAAGACAGAUGUGAAAUCCCCGGGCUCAACCUGGGAACUGCAUUUGUGACUGCAUGGCUAGAGUACGGUAGAGGGGGAUGGAAUUCCGCGUGUAGCAGUGAAAUGCGUAGAUAUGCGGAGGAACACCGAUGGCGAAGGCAAUCCCCUGGACCUGUACUGACGCUCAUGCACGAAAGCGUGGGGAGCAAACAGG
RNAcentral lists this ribosomal RNA (253 nucleotides) under uncultured bacterium. Its description in RNAcentral is "partial 16S ribosomal RNA". It matches the Rfam family "Bacterial small subunit ribosomal RNA", at positions 524 to 776 of the family's 1533-position model. The record is from RNAcentral.